UACGUAGGGUGCGAGCGUUGUCCGGAAUUAUUGGGCGUAAAGGGCUCGUAGGCGGUCUGUCGCGUCGGCUGUGAAAACCCGGGGCUCAACCCCGGGCCUGCAGUCGAUACGGGCAGACUAGAGUGUGGUAGGGGAGACUGGAAUUCCUGGUGUAGCGGUGAAAUGCGCAGAUAUCAGGAGGAACACCGGUGGCGAAGGCGGGUCUCUGGGCCAUAACUGACGCUGAGGAGCGAAAGCGUGGGGAGCGAACAGG
RNAcentral lists this ribosomal RNA (253 nucleotides) under uncultured bacterium. Its description in RNAcentral is "partial 16S ribosomal RNA". It matches the Rfam family "Bacterial small subunit ribosomal RNA", at positions 524 to 776 of the family's 1533-position model. The record is from RNAcentral.